RNAcentral lists this ribosomal RNA (899 nucleotides) under uncultured Actinomycetes bacterium. RNAcentral's name for it is "bacterial SSU rRNA". It matches the Rfam family "Bacterial small subunit ribosomal RNA", at positions 623 to 1510 of the family's 1533-position model. Lineage: Bacteria; Bacillati; Actinomycetota; Actinomycetes. The record is from RNAcentral.
GCAGUGGGUACGGGCAGGCUAGAGUGUGGUAGGGGGAGACUGGAAUUUCCUGGUGUAGCGGUGGAAUGCGCAGAUAUCAGGAGGAACACCGAUGGCGAAGGCAGGUCUCUGGGCCAUUACUGACGCUGAGAAGCGAAAGCGUGGGGAGCGAACAGGAUUAGAUACCCUGGUAGUCCACGCCGUAAACGUUGGGCGCUAGGUGUGGGUCCCAUUCCACGGGGUCCGUGCCGCAGCUAACGCAUUAAGCGCCCCGCCUGGGGAGUACGGCCGCAAGGCUAAAACUCAAAGGAAUUGACGGGGGCCCGCACAAGCGGCGGAGCAUGCGGAUUAAUUCGAUGCAACGCGAAGAACCUUACCAAGGCUUGACAUACACCGGACGACUGCAGAGAUGUGGUUUCCCUUUGGGCUGGUGUACAGGUGGUGCAUGGUUGUCGUCAGCUCGUGUCGUGAGAUGUUGGGUUAAGUCCCGCAACGAGCGCAACCCUCGUUCCAUGUUGCCAGCAGCACCUUCGGGUGGCUGGGGACUCAUGGGAGACUGCCGGGGUCAACUCGGAGGAAGGUGGGGAUGACGUCAAAUCAUCAUGCCCCUUACGUCUUGGGCUUCACGCAUGCUACAAUGGCCGGUACAAAGGGCUGCGAUCCCGUGAGGGGGAGCGAAUCCCAGAAAGCCGGUCUCAGUUCGGAUUGGGGUCUGCAACUCGACCCCAUGAAGUCGGAGUCGCUAGUAAUCGCAGAUCAGCAACGCUGCGGUGAAUACGUUCCCGGGCCCUGUACACACCGCCCGUCAAGUCACGAAAGUCGGUAACACCCGAAGCCGGUGGCCCAACCCUUGUGGAGGGAGCUGUCGAAGGUGGGACUGGUGAUUGGGACUAAGUCGUAACAAGGUACCAAUCCCGCGG